This 502-nucleotide ribosomal RNA is filed under the name uncultured delta proteobacterium. RNAcentral's name for it is "bacterial SSU rRNA". It matches the Rfam family "Bacterial small subunit ribosomal RNA", at positions 1 to 472 of the family's 1533-position model. Lineage: Bacteria; Deltaproteobacteria. The record is from RNAcentral.
UCGAUUAGAGUUUGAUCCUGGCUCAGAACGAACGCUGGCGGCGUGCUUAACACAUGCAAGUCGAACGAGAAAUCGGGCACUCAGGCAACUGAGUGCCGGAGAGUAAAGUGGCGCACGGGUGAGUAACACGUGGGUAACCUACCCUCGAGUCUGGGAUAACUUCGCGAAAGCGUUGCUAAUACCGGAUAUUGUCCUAUUGGUUGUGACCUUUGGGAUGAAAGGCAACCUCUUCAUGAAAGUUGUCGUUCAGGGAUGGGCCCGCGUACCAUUAGCUUGUUGGUGGGGUAACGGCUCACCAAGGCUACGAUGGUUAGCUGGUCUGAGAGGAUGAUCAGCCACACUGGAACUGAAACACGGUCCAGACUCCUACGGGAGGCAGCAGUGAGGAAUUUUGCGCAAUGGGGGAAACCCUGACGCAGCAACGCCGCGUGAGUGAAGAAGGCUUUCGGGUCGUAAAGCUCUGUCAAGUGGGAAAAAAAUCUGAUGAUUAAUAGUUGUCAGA